UACGAAGGGGGCUAGCGUUGCUCGGAAUCACUGGGCGUAAAGCGCACGUAGGCGGUUUCUUAAGUCAGGGGUGAAAUCCCGGAGCUCAACUCCGGAACUGCGUUUGAUACUGGGGGACUUGAGUUCGGGAGAGGUGAGUGGAACUGCGAGUGUAGAGGUGAAAUUCGUAGAUAUUCGCAAGAACACCAGUGGCGAAGGCGGCUCACUGGCCCGAUACUGACGCUGAGGUGCGAAAGCGUGGGGAGCAAACAGG
RNAcentral lists this ribosomal RNA (253 nucleotides) under uncultured bacterium. Its description in RNAcentral is "partial 16S ribosomal RNA". It matches the Rfam family "Bacterial small subunit ribosomal RNA", at positions 524 to 776 of the family's 1533-position model. The record is from RNAcentral.